GUCCAGGGAUGGGAAUCGAACCCACAUUGUUCCGCUUACCGGGCAGAUGCCAUGUCCACUAGGCUACCCUGGA
Non-coding RNA from Cordylochernes scorpioides, 73 nucleotides. The record is from the annotation of a GenBank genome assembly. Lineage: Eukaryota; Metazoa; Arthropoda; Arachnida; Pseudoscorpiones; Chernetidae.